GACGAACGCUGGCGGCGUGCUUAACACAUGCAAGUCGAACGGAAAGGCCCUGCUUGCAGGGUACUCGAGUGGCGAACGGGUGAGUAACACGUGGGUGAUCUGCCCUGCACUUCGGGAUAAGCCUGGGAAACUGGGUCUAAUACCGGAUAGGAGCCAUUUUUAGUGUGAUGGUUGGAAAGUUUUUUCGGUGUAGGAUGAGCUCGCGGCCUAUCAGCUUGUUGGUGGGGUAAUGGCCUACCAAGGCGGCGACGGGUAGCCGGCCUGAGAGGGUGGACGGCCACAUUGGGACUGAGCUACGGCCCAGACUCCUACGGGAGGCAGCAGUGGGGAAUAUUGCACAAUGGGCGCAAGCCUGAUGCAGCGACGCCGCGUGGGGGAUGACGGCCUUCGGGUUGUAAACUACUUUCGCUAGGGACGAAGCUUUUUGUGACGGUACCUAGAUAAGAAGCACCGGCUAACUACGUG
This 465-nucleotide ribosomal RNA is filed under the name uncultured bacterium. RNAcentral describes it as "partial 16S ribosomal RNA". It matches the Rfam family "Bacterial small subunit ribosomal RNA", at positions 28 to 507 of the family's 1533-position model. The record is from RNAcentral.